Hirundo rustica (Barn swallow) is the source of this 2843-nucleotide long non-coding RNA. RefSeq lists it as uncharacterized. The record is from RefSeq and is a predicted model, not a curated record. The transcript is spliced from 2 exons. Lineage: Eukaryota; Metazoa; Chordata; Aves; Passeriformes; Hirundinidae.
GAAGUGAGGAGGACUGCGGGGUUCCCGUGCUGUGCCUCGGGUGUCUUCUGCAGAAAUCCCACCUGUGUCUGGGUAUCGAGUCACUCGGGGCUCAGUGGAAAGGCAGCUGUGUGGUUUUUUCUGCGCAGACCUAGGCAGUAGCGAGGACCCUUCGCUUUCGCUCGCCUGUGUCCUGCAGAAAAAGGCUUCCAUGGGCUGUCGUGCUGUUUACACCGAGCCUGGAUUUUUAGCGCAAAAGCCGAAGGUGCUAAGUGAACCAGGAGAAGCCCUUCCUCACACACCCCAGCCAGGAUGUGCUGGUCCAUUGGGCUGGCCCUGCGCAUGGACACCUCAACCCAGCCUCCAUCUCCCCAGCUAACCCGGCUCACAUGUACCUGUCCUCUCUCCCCCUCUUCCUUUUCCCCUCUUUCCCCUCUCCCCCUAGUCCUGUUUGCCACACUGCUUUCUGUCUGGGAACACCACCUCAAACACAGGCAAAGCUGGGACAAGACUGUUGUUUAAAAGCAGCGCUCUGAAGGAUGUUUGUGUUGCCAAAACCUUUCCUGCCGUCUGUAAAAUCUGAGAGGACAAGCUGAUACCAUGGGCAGAGGAAAAGUAGGACCUAGAGAUAACCCAAGGAGGCUUGAGACUUUUUGUUGGCCACAGGGCCCGUAAAUUAUCUUGGCAGCCCCAUUUUAGUAUUCGAGGAGCACGAGACUCCCGUCUAUCACAGGAUCUAGAGGCGAGGCAGUAACAAAGGAACUGCUGUGCAGAAGGGGAGCAAGGGGAACCUCGCUGAACUCUUACCCAGCAGGCUUUAUGAGAUGUAAUAUUGCUUUAAUGUGCCAUUAGAUCUACAUUUAGAAAAAGGGUCGUAACAUGGAUUGGGCUGCACUGCUAAACAAUUCUGUCAGAUAAUUGUUCACAACCCAGACUCCUGCUGAGGGUCUCAGAAAUUUCCGUAUCACACUGAUACUGUGCUAUGACUGAAUCCAAAGUACGUGCACAAAGCAAAGGGGAUAAAGGAAGAUGUGACAGAGCCAGGAGUGACGAUCCAGACAGUUAUAGCAUGGAUGAGUAAAAUGCUUGAAAUAAGCAGGAGUGGUUUAGUAGAUCAGAAAAUAUUUCCAUAUCCAGGAGUAUCACUUUGGAUUGUGUAAAGAGCCCUGUGCCCUCCCAGAAAAGACACGUUCCUAAAUUCAAUCAAGUUUGGACCAUGCCUUAAAAAAAACAGAAAUAUUAAUUAUUUUUUCAAACUGUUUUGAGGCAGGGGAGAGAAUCGUAUCAUUCCAGAAUGGUUUGGAAGGAAUCUUAACAAUCUUGACUAGAUGAUCUUAACGAUCAUCUGCCAUGGGGAGGGACGCCUUCCACUAGACCAGGUUACUCAGAGUCCCAUCCAGCCUGGCCUUGAACACCUCCAGGUAUGGGGAGCCCAUAGCCCCUCUCUGCAACCUGCUCCAGUGAAUCACCACCUUUAUAAUAGAGAAUUUCUUUCAAAUGCCCAAUCUAAGUCUUCAGCUUAAGGCCAUUCUCCCUUGUCCUACCACUACAUGCCCUUGUGAAACAAACAUGGGUGAAAACCACCUGUGGUGUGAAGUGUGGAUGGAGAGUAGAGUCUCAAGUAAUAUUUAACACAGCUGGAUUUCUUUCUCUGUUUUACAGUUAAGAUUUUUUAUUCAGGUUUAUGAAAGAUAUGACUGCUUCCAGUAAUCACUUGGCCAGAAGUCCUAGGAGCAUCCUGGAACCCCACCCACCCUGCCAGACAAUGGAUCAGCACAGGACACAGAAAUUAUGCUUACCAUAAAGAAAUGGUGAUCUAAAGAAGGUCAAUUGCAUGCUCUAACAAGUCCACUGGCAAUAGAAAGUGAAGACAGGCGGAAUGGAGCUUGAUGUCUCUCACUGGAGUUACCAGUCCUUCUAGAUGAAAUUACAGUUUUGCAGUGGCAUGGAACUGAGUCCAUGGAAAAAGCUGAGAGACAUUUUCAAGUUUUUAAACUGGCUGAAAAAAGAGAGUAGGUUUUUGGCUUAAAGCUGUCAUCUGACUUCUGCCAAAGAGGAGUGUUCGGAAAGCAUGCACCACCAUAUUUCAGCACACUGCUUGAUAUGGCAUUACUGGAUAGCUAAGGGUAGCCUUCGAAGAUAUGAAUUUCCUGUCUCUUGGGUUUUUGGUUCAUUGACAUAGCAAGAAGAAAAAUAUUUUGACACUUCCGACUUGCCAUGUCCAUGAGUUAUGAUGGAAAGCCUGUUUCUCUGCAGACUGAAAAUCAUCCAUGCGGAACUGACAGAAGAUGUGCUGAGGAAUAAAGAAACUGCAGCUCCAAGUGGUUUGCUUUAAACUACGUACCUGGUAGUGCUUUUCCUCUCUUCUGGAGAGAAUUUCAGUGGAAGUGUCCUGUUGUGUCCUUUACAGCCCAGGGAUGGCAGCAACAAUGAGCACUGCAAGCCCUAAUGCUUGUGGAGGUAGAAGUCAGCGUUCACACACUGCGUGGGCUUGACUGUGCUCUCUUCCUUUGCUCUCACAUACAUGAAAGAAUCUUCUGAGUGGUUCGAUAAUCAGUCACCUGAUUGCAUUUGAGGAGGUAGGACAGUGCUGUGACACGGCUUCCCUGAGGAAAAAAGAGUCACCAUUCCACCUCCUAAUAUUACUGGCAAAGGACCACUCUGGAAAGGUAUCCUUAAUGGUAAUUCCAAGGUAUUUGCUGCUUAGGAGGUUAGAAAGUACAGGUGAUUACUUGGUAGUACUAAUGUAUGAAAACUUCCAAUGGAUGAAGGUUGUCAAGGUUCUGAUUUAUGUACUGAAUGAGCUAUCAUGGAGCAAAACCUAAACUAUUAAUUACUGUUCAAUAUAAUUUUUUUUCUACAAA